RNAcentral lists this ribosomal RNA (497 nucleotides) under uncultured bacterium. Its description in RNAcentral is "partial 16S ribosomal RNA". It matches the Rfam family "Bacterial small subunit ribosomal RNA", at positions 28 to 507 of the family's 1533-position model. The record is from RNAcentral.
GAUGAACGCUGGCGGCGUGCCUAAUACAUGCAAGUCGAGCGAACGGACGAGAAGCUUGCUUCUCUGAUGUUAGCGGCGGACGGGUGAGUAACACGUGGAUAACCUACCUAUAAGACUGGGAUCACUUCGGGAAACCGGAGCUAAUACCGGAUAAUAUUUUGAACCGCAUGGUUCAAAAGUGAAAGACGGUCUUGCUGUCACUUAUAGAUGGAUCCGCGCUGCAUUAGCUAGUUGGUAAGGUAACGGCUUACCAAGGCAACGAUGCAUAGCCGACCUGAGAGGGUGAUCGGCCACACUGGAACGUAGACACGGUCCAGACUCCUACGGGAGGCAGCAGUAGGGAAUCUUCCGCAAUGGGCGAAAGCCUGACGGAGCAACGCCGCGUGAGUGAUGAAGGUCUUCGGAGCGUAAAACUCUGUUAUUAGGGAAGAACAUAUGUGUAAGUAACUGUGCACAGCUUGACGGUACCUAAUCAGAAAGCCACGGCUAACUACGUG